AUUCUACUCCCUCCGUUGCACAAUACAUGCCUUCUAUUUGUCAAAAUAUAUAUGUAUCUAGACAUGUCUUAGUAUAUAGGUACAUCCAUUUUUGGACAAAUGGAAGUCAAGUAUUUUGGAACGGAGGGAGUACAUA
Non-coding RNA from Triticum urartu, 136 nucleotides. The record is from Rfam. NCBI's taxonomy places the organism in Eukaryota, Viridiplantae, Streptophyta, Magnoliopsida, Poales, Poaceae.